UAGGGAAUCUUCGGCAAUGGGGGGAACCCUGACCGAGCAACGCCGCGUGAGUGAAGAAGGUUUUCGGAUCGUAAAGCUCUGUUGUUAAGGAAGAACGAGUGUGAGAAUGGAAAGUUCAUGCUGUGACGGUACUUAACCAGAAAGGGACGGCUAACUACGUGCCAGCAGCCGCGGUAAUACGUAGGUCCCGAGCGUUGUCCGGAUUUAUUGGGCGUAAAGCGAGCGCAGGCGGUCAAUUAAGUCUGAUGUGAAAGCCCCCGGCUCAACCGGGGAGGGUCAUUGGAAACUGGUUGACUUGAGUGCAGAAGAGGAGAGUGGAAUUCCAUGUGUAGCGGUGAAAUGCGUAGAUAUAUGGAGGAACGCCAGUGGCGAAGGCGACUCUCUGGUCUGUAACUGACGCUGAGGCUCGAAAGCGUGGGUAGCAAACAGG
This 430-nucleotide ribosomal RNA is filed under the name Bacteroidota bacterium. RNAcentral describes it as "Bacteroidetes bacterium partial 16S ribosomal RNA". It matches the Rfam family "Bacterial small subunit ribosomal RNA", at positions 355 to 776 of the family's 1533-position model. Lineage: Bacteria; Pseudomonadati; Bacteroidota. The record is from RNAcentral.